Tinamus guttatus (white-throated tinamou) is the source of this 349-nucleotide non-coding RNA. Lineage: Eukaryota; Metazoa; Chordata; Aves; Tinamiformes; Tinamidae. The record is from RefSeq and is a predicted model, not a curated record.
UCUGUUGCCAUUGCCUUCGUUGGUGAAGCAAAAGUGGUAGUCUUGGAUGAGCCCACUUCUGGAGUUGAUCCAUAUUCCAGGCGAUCUAUAUGGGAUCUUCUGCUAAAGUAUCGCUCAGGCAGAACCAUCAUCUUGUCAACCCAUCAUAUGGAUGAGGCAGACAUCCUUGGAGACAGAGUAGCCAUCAUAUCCCAAGGGAAACUCUUCUGUUCAGGCUCUCCAGUUUUCCUAAAGAACUGCUUUGGAUCUGGCUUCUAUCUCACCCUUGUACGCAAGAUGAGAAGCACCAGAAGUGGAAGGAAUGCAUCCUUCUGUAGCUGUGGAUCUCAGUGCUCCUGCUCCUGCUCCA